GGGUAGUUUGACUGGGGCGGUCUCCUCCCAAAGAGUAACGGAGGAGCACGAAGGUUAGCUAAUCACGGUCGGACAUCGUGAGGUUAGUGCAAAGGCAUAAGCUAGCUUGACUGCGAGAGUGACGGCUCGAGCAGGUACGAAAGUAGGUCUUAGUGAUCCGGUGGUUCUGAAUGGAAGGGCCAUCGCUCAACGGAUAAAAGGUACUCCGGGGAUAACAGGCUGAUACCGCCCAAGAGUUCAUAUCGACGGCGGUGUUUGGCACCUCGAUGUCGGCUCAUCACAUCCUGGGGCUGAAGUAGGUCCCAAGGGUAUGGCUGUUCGCCAUUUAAAGUGGUACGCGAGCUGGGUUUAGAACGUCGUGAGACAGUUCGGUCCCUAUCUGCCGUGGGCGUUGGAAGAUUGAGAGGGGUUGCUCCUAGUACGAGAGGACCGGAGUGAACGCACCACUGGUGUUCGGGUUGUCAUGCCAAUGGCAUUGCCCGGUAGCUAAGUGCGGAAAAGAUAAGCGCUGAAAGCAUCUAAGCGCGAAACUUGCCUCAAGAUGAGUCUUCCCUUGGACUUUGAGUCCACUGAAGGAACGUUUAAGACUAAGACGUUGAUAGGCUGGGUGUGUAAGUGCAGCGAUGCAUUGAGCUAACCAGUACUAAUGAUCCGUGAGGCUUAACC
Molecule: ribosomal RNA, 666 nt
Filed under: Serratia marcescens
Lineage: Bacteria; Pseudomonadati; Pseudomonadota; Gammaproteobacteria; Enterobacterales; Yersiniaceae
Description: partial 23S ribosomal RNA
Rfam family: Bacterial large subunit ribosomal RNA
Source: RNAcentral